RNAcentral lists this ribosomal RNA (468 nucleotides) under uncultured bacterium. Its description in RNAcentral is "partial 16S ribosomal RNA". It matches the Rfam family "Bacterial small subunit ribosomal RNA", at positions 28 to 523 of the family's 1533-position model. The record is from RNAcentral.
GAUGAACGCUGGCGGCGUGCCUAACACAUGCAAGUCGAGCGAUUCUCUUCGGAGAAGAGCGGCGGACGGGUGAGUAACGCGUGGGUAACCUGCCCUGUACACACGGAUAACAUACCGAAAGGUAUGCUAAUACGAGAUAAUAUACUUUUAUCGCAUGGUAGAAGUAUCAAAGCUCCGGCGGUACAGGAUGGACCCGCGUCUGAUUAGCUAGAUGGUGAGGUAACGGCUCACCAAGGCGACGAUCAGUAGCCGACCUGAGAGGGUGAUCGGCCACAUUGGAACUGAGACACGGUCCAAACUCCUACGGGAGGCAGCAGUGGGGAAUAUUGCACAAUGGGCGAAAGCCUGAUGCAGCAACGCCGCGUGAGCGAUGAAGGCCUUCGGGUCGUAAAGCUCUGUCCUCAAGGAAGAUAAUGACGGUACUUGAGGAGGAAGCCCCGGCUAACUACGUGCCAGCAGCCGCCGUAA